Triticum aestivum (bread wheat) is the source of this 134-nucleotide non-coding RNA. The record is from Rfam. Lineage: Eukaryota; Viridiplantae; Streptophyta; Magnoliopsida; Poales; Poaceae.
AAAAUACUUCCUCCGUCCCAAAAUUCUUGUCUUAGAUUGCCAAGAUACGGAUGUAUCUAACACUAAAAUGUAACUAGAUACAUCCGUAAUUAGACAAAUCUAAGACAAGAAUUUUGGGACGGAGAGAGUAUAUU